GACAUUUGGUAGAGACUGUGAGACCACCAGGUCCCAACAGACCCCAGAGAACAGCCACAUUUGCUGGUGCUGAAACAAGGUCAUUAAGGGUGAAGCCUGGUGCCAGAUGUGU
Ribosomal RNA from Panthera tigris altaica (Amur tiger), 112 nucleotides. The record is from Ensembl. Lineage: Eukaryota; Metazoa; Chordata; Mammalia; Carnivora; Felidae.